This is an RNA transcript of Zea mays, 3040 nucleotides long. RefSeq lists it as uncharacterized. The record is from RefSeq and is marked validated. The transcript is spliced from 10 exons. NCBI's taxonomy places the organism in Eukaryota, Viridiplantae, Streptophyta, Magnoliopsida, Poales, Poaceae.
GGCCCUGACCACUGCACCAGCCAGUCAGCCACCCAGCACCAGCAGGCAGCGCAGCUAGGUGGGGUGGGGCCGUGGGGGGCAGCCGGUGGGAACGCUUGCCCCGAACUCCCGAUACCCACACCCGUCUUGACUCUGGCCGUCUCUAUUCUCCAAGUCCCAAUCCACCGACGAAUUCCAAACCCUGCCUAGGACCUCGGCGCCACUCGCCGCACGUCGUCCACGUCCGCCUCCACCAGCGGUGGAGGGGAACUGGAGAGACAAAUCAAUGAGCAGGACGCGGGAGCAGAAGAGAUGAAGCCACCAAAGCGUGCAGUUGAAGAGUCGAGUCGAGGACUCUAAGAAGCGACUACAGGCCGGCUUUCCCAUAUGAGAUUGUGGCUGUUUCCUUCAUUCCUGCAGGGAGUUGUUGGCUGCUGUGGGCUCUCCGCGCCGGGCUGUGGGUGCUGCUGUUUAGGCCAGGGGAGUGCAAAUAGGGUAAAAAUGUAUAUACUAUAAGGCUUUUGGUAUUUGGGACUGGGUGCGGCCGCACCCAGUUGGCCUAUAUAUGGUGGGUACUGAGAUGAGUGAAUCAUGUUCGAGUUUCAUGUGGUGUACUCUGUUUAUACUUUUGCAUCAAGUCGAGUGCUGACCUUGUUUGUGCGUGAUUGUUCUUGUGUGCUUCAGAGAUCCUAGCCCUUGUUUCUGAUUUCACAGCAGUUGCCUGAUGGCUGGUGUGUGACUUUUAGUGCCCUUGCAAAUGCUAACAAGUUUUUCCCCUGGUGCAAUAAAUAUCUGUGCUAUGGAUGGAUGAAAAUGAAGUGGGCUCAUGUUUUAAUGUCAUUUUUUUGUUUUAAACUUUUAAUAGCCAAUCCGAUGGGGUAUGAAGAGAGCAAAAAACAUCUCCUCAGUCUCAGCUACCCUGAGCUGCAAUGUUUGUGCAAAAGGUAUAACCUUCCUGCUAAGAAGACCCACUCUCAGUUAGCAAGUUCGCUCGCCUCGCUGCUUGAGGCAUCUCCAUCUCCUGCUCCUCCUCCUGUCCAAUUAGCAAAUAUGAAAGAAGCAUCCACAUGCAAUCAUGCUAACAACAAAAGAGGCCCAUACAAUGGCAGGGAUGAUGGUAAACCACUUGUGCAUGCGAAACAUCAAAAAGGAGAUCAGACACCUGUUGAUGAAACAUCUAAAAAGCAGGGGAUUGACACUGGUACGAGUAUACCUCCAGUUUCUAUGAACCAUGGAAGACCAGAAUAUCAUGGCCAUCUAUCUUCUGACCUGAGAACUGCUCAUAAUUUACAGUCCCAAUGUGACGUGGGAAUUGCAACUAAUACAACAAAUCUAGAAUUUGUUGGCAAACAUGAUUGUUCACCUGCUAACGUAAUUGAUCAAAUCUGUCCCCCUAUUAUUCAAAAAUAUCCUUCUAAUGGUAAUGGUCAGGCUUCCACUAAGUUCGGCCGUAUGAAUGAUAACACAGAAAAGGGUUGUCGGCUGUCUGAUAAGAUAUCAGCAAAUGCUGCUGCUGUUCAAUUUUCUGUAAUGUCAGAUGAGGGCAUUGAUCUUCUUGUUGAUCUGAACUCCAGUUCAGCAACAUGGGCCAAGAACUUCAUGGCAGAAAUGCACAUUACCCCUCCGUCUGAACAUGGGAAUUUCUCUAGCUUCAUUAGCAGUUUGUCAACUAAGGAUGAUCAUAGCACUGCGUCACCAUCUGGAAAUAUCAUUGUUGACAUUCAGAACAAGGGAGCUGAGAACAUUGUUCCUUCCACUGAUUCAUCACUUGCUUCAGAUGUUGGUGAGAGCUCCCGUUCAGUGCUCUAUCCAGUUGAUACGACUACUGUGAACUCAGUGUCAUCCACGUCUACAGUGGCUGGUACCCCAGUUGAACUUUCUGGGUAUCAGGAGGGUGCUCCAGUGGUAUGUUCUUCAUGUUUAACAGCUGAUGUUCAGAACAAUGUGACAUCUGAUAUGCCAGGUGCUUCGGAUAACGAGGUGCUUCCUCCAGAACCUGCUGAUGUCUUUUUGCAGUCUGAAAGAAUCACUGCACCAGCUGUAUGUGGUUCAGUGCAACCAAUUGGCAAUAAAUGCACAAUGAGUUCUGGGGAUGAGGUUAGAAGUGGCUCCAAUGAAGACUCCUGUCCAAAAUCUUCAGGAAAACAAACUGGAGAUGAAACCCUAAUGGAAAAUGAACCUGUGAAGGCAGUAGCAGUGGAAGAAAAUAUAGGUCGUGAUGACAGUUUGUCCAUUUCUUAUCAACUAGCCUGUAAGACAGUAGCAGAACUGCCUGUUACAGAUGCCCAGUCGCCUGCUAGUUCUUCUGGUCAUUUUAUUGCUGGAAAUUUUGACAACACACAUCCAACAUCUUCCGCCACUUCGUAAAAGGGGAAGAGAAUGAAAGCUGCUAAACGUAUUAUUUUGGUCAAUGGCAAAGUCUACGUGUCUCACUUUUAGCUCCGCAACUGCAAACCUGCUUAUUUGGACAAUGCUAUUAAUUCUCUGACUUCAAAGUUCGGUGCAGAGCUAGCACAAAGUCAUGAUUCUACGGACAAAAAGGGACAGAAUGAUGCUGAGGAGGUUGAGGAGUUAGAGAGUAUGACACCAGCAGCCUAUAGUGAACCUCCCAGAAAUAUACAACUUAGCUUACGAAGUGCUUCCGCUAAGGUCAAGCCUUCUACACUACCAAGACGAUCAGCGAGGCUUCUUCCUAAGUAACCGCCGUAAAUGAUACAGAUGAGAUCCAGUGUGAGAAUAGCCUCACUACCGGCUUAGUCAGAUUCCAUGAGGAUGAAGGGAUAGAAAACAGUUAACAAGCUUAGAUUCUAAUUUUGUAUGUUCUUGUUAAUUCUUUUUUGUUCCAGCAACUGAGUAGAACUUGGUUUCUGAAGCUUAGGCUGCGUGACUUUUUAUCUCCUCGUGUCCAUCAACAUCUGUUACAGUUACAGUCGUACUGUCGAGCUUUCAUACACUAUUGUACAAACGACUCCUACUUUUACAGCAUCUGUUUCCUCUGGUCUGCGACUUGUUGGAUGAUGUCUUCUGUGUUUUAUAUCAAUGCAAUAUAACUAUUGGUGCA